RNAcentral lists this ribosomal RNA (497 nucleotides) under uncultured bacterium. RNAcentral's name for it is "partial 16S ribosomal RNA". It matches the Rfam family "Bacterial small subunit ribosomal RNA", at positions 28 to 507 of the family's 1533-position model. The record is from RNAcentral.
GAUGAACGCUGGCGGCGUGCCUAAUACAUGCAAGUCGAGCGAACAGACGAGGAGCUUGCUCCUCUGACGUUAGCGGCGGACGGGUGAGUAACACGUGAAUAACCUCCCUAUAAGACUGGGAUAACUUCGGGAAACCGGAGCUAAUACCGGAUAAUAUAUUUAACCGCAUGGUUCAAUAGUGAAAGACGGUUUUGCUGUCACUUAUAGAUGGAUCCGCGCCGCAUUAGCUAGUUGGUAAGGUAACGGCUUACCAAGGCAACGAUGCGUAGCCGACCUGAGAGGGUGAUCGGCCACACUGGAACUGAGACACGGUCCAGACUCCUACGGGAGGCAGCAGUAGGGAAUCUUCCGCAAUGGGCGAAAGCCUGACGGAGCAACGCCGCGUGAGUGAUGAAGGUCUUCGGAUCGUAAAACUCUGUUAUUAGGGAAGAAAAAAUGUGUAAGUAACUAUGCACGUCUUGACGGUACCUAAUCAGAAAGCCACGGCUAACUACGUG